CAGGCCUAACACAUGCAAGUCGAGCGGACCAUUCCUUCGGGGAUGGUUAGCGGCGGACGGGUGAGUAACACGUAGGCAACCUGCCUGUAAGAUCGGGAUAACUACCGGAAACGGUAGCUAAGACCGGAUAGCUGGUUUCCCCGCAUGGAGGGAUCAUGAAACAUGGGGCAACCUGUGGCUUACGGAUGGGCCUGCGGCGCAUUAGCUAGUUGGUGGGGUAAUGGCCCACCAAGGCGACGAUGCGUAGCCGACCUGAGAGGGUGAUCGGCCACACUGGGACUGAGACACGGCCCAGACUCCUACGGGAGGCAGCAGUAGGGAAUCUUCCGCAAUGGGCGCAAGCCUGACGGAGCAACGCCGCGUGAGUGAUGAAGGUUUUCGGAUCGUAAAGCUCUGUUGCCAAGGAAGAACGCCUCGGAGAGUAACUGCUCUGAGGGUGACGGUACUUGAGAAGAAAGCCCCGGCUAACUACGUGCCAGCAGCCGCGGUAAUACGUAGGGGGCAAGCGUUGUCCGGAAUUAUUGGGCGUAAAGCGCGCGCAGGCGGUCUUUUAAGUUUGGUGUUUAAGCCCGGGGCUCAACCCCGGUUCGCACUGAAAACUGGGAGACUUGAGUGCAGGAGAGGAAAGCGGAAUUCCACGUGUAGCGGUGAAAUGCGUAGAGAUGUGGAGGAACACCAGUGGCGAAGGCGGCUUUCUGGACUGUAACUGACGCUGAGGCGCGAAAGCGUGGGGAGCAAACAGGAUUAGAU
This 750-nucleotide ribosomal RNA is filed under the name uncultured bacterium. RNAcentral describes it as "bacterial SSU rRNA". It matches the Rfam family "Bacterial small subunit ribosomal RNA", at positions 43 to 783 of the family's 1533-position model. The record is from RNAcentral.